UUGUUGAGCGGAAGCUUGAGGCCAACCGGUGAAUAACGCGUGUGCAACCUUUCCUGUACUGAGUGACAACAACGUGGAGGCGUUAAUAAUACCUAAUAUAUUCCUUUUAAAGGCAUCUUUAAAUGGUCAUAGUUUUAUCAGUACAGGAUGGGCCCGCGUCCGAUUAAUUAGUUGGUGGGGUAACGGCCCACCAAGGCGACGAUCAGUAGCCGACCUGAGAGGGUGAUCGGCCACACUGGAACUGAGACACGGUCCAGACUCCUACGGGAGGCAGCAGUGGGGAAUAUUACACAAUGGGCGAAAGCCUGAUGCAGCAACGCCGCGUGAGCGAUGAAGGCCUUCGGGUAGUAAAGCUCUGUCGUAAGGGAAGAAAUUUGACGGUACCUUGGGAGGAAGCCCCGGCUAACUACGUGCCAGCAGCCGCGGUAAUACGUAGGGGGCAAGCGUUAUCCGGAAUCACUGGGCGUAAAGGGUGCGUAGGCGGUCUUACAAGUCAGGGGUGAAAGGCUACGGCUCAACCGUAGUAAGCCUUUGAAACUGUAGGACUUGAGUGCAGGAGAGGAAAGUGGAAUUCCUAGUGUAGCGGUGAAAUGCGUAGAUAUUAGGAGGAACACCAGUGGCGAAGGCGACUUUCUGGACUGUAACUGACGCUGAGGCACGAAAGUGUGGGGAGCAAACAGGAUUAGAUACCCUGGUAGUCCACACCGUAAAGGAUGAGUGCUAGGUGUUGGGGGUCAAACCUCAGUGCCGCAGCUAACGCAUUAAGCACUCCGCCUGGGGAGUA
Molecule: ribosomal RNA, 784 nt
Filed under: Alkaliphilus crotonatoxidans
Lineage: Bacteria; Bacillati; Bacillota; Clostridia; Peptostreptococcales; Natronincolaceae
Description: bacterial SSU rRNA
Rfam family: Bacterial small subunit ribosomal RNA
Source: RNAcentral